Molecule: ribosomal RNA, 430 nt
Filed under: Pseudomonadota bacterium
Lineage: Bacteria; Pseudomonadati; Pseudomonadota
Description: Proteobacteria bacterium partial 16S ribosomal RNA
Rfam family: Bacterial small subunit ribosomal RNA
Source: RNAcentral
UGGGGAAUAUUGGACAAUGGGGGGAACCCUGAUCCAGCCAUGCCGCGUGUGUGAAGAAGGCCUUAUGGUUGUAAAGCACUUUAAGCGAGGAGGAGGGUACUGGUAUUAAUACUACCAGGUACUGGACGUUACUCGCAGAAUAAGCACCGGCCAACUCUGUGCCAGCAGCCGCGGUAAUACAGAGGGUGCGAGCGUUAAUCGGAUUUACUGGGCGUAAAGCGUGCGUAGGCGGCUAAUUGAGUCGGAUGUGAAAUCCCCGGGCUUAACUUGGGAAUUGCAUUCGAUACUGGUUAGCUAGAGUGUGGGAGAGGAUGGUAGAAUUCCAGGUGUAGCGGUGAAAUGCGUAGAGAUCUGGAGGAAUACCGAUGGCGAAGGCAGCCAUCUGGCCUAACACUGACGCUGAGGUACGAAAGCAUGGGGAGCAAACAGG